AUUGAACGCUGGCGGCAGGCUUAACACAUGCAAGUCGAGCGGAGACUUCGGUCUUAGCGGCGAACGGGUGAGGAAUGCCUGGGAAUCUGCCUGUUUGUGGGGGAUAACGAAUCGAAAGGUUCGCUAAUACCGCAUACGUCCUACGGGAGAAAGCAGGGGACCUUCGGGCCUUGCGCUAACAGAUGAGCCCAGGUCGGAUUAGCUAGUUGGUGGGGUAAAGGCUCACCAAGGCGACGAUCCGUAGCUGGUCUGAGAGGAUGAUCAGCCACACUGGAACUGAGACACGGUCCAGACUCCUACGGGAGGCAGCAGUGGGGAAUAUUGGACAAUGGGCGAAAGCCUGAUCCAGCCAUGCCGCGUGUGUGAAGAAGGCCUC
This 376-nucleotide ribosomal RNA is filed under the name uncultured bacterium. RNAcentral's name for it is "bacterial SSU rRNA". It matches the Rfam family "Bacterial small subunit ribosomal RNA", at positions 30 to 418 of the family's 1533-position model. The record is from RNAcentral.